RNAcentral lists this unclassified non-coding RNA (240 nucleotides) under plant metagenome. RNAcentral's name for it is "partial contains small subunit ribosomal RNA and internal transcribed spacer 1". The stretch from base 1 to 46 matches the Rfam family "Eukaryotic small subunit ribosomal RNA", at positions 1786 to 1831 of the family's 1831-position model. The record is from RNAcentral.
AAGUCGUAACAAGGUUUCCGUAGGUGAACCUGCGGAAGGAUCAUUACUGAGGUAGGGUCCCUCGGGGCCCGACCUCCAACCCUUUGUUUACCUUACCACUGUUGCAUAGGCGGGUCGUUGACUCCCUCUUUACGGGGGGUGUCGCCGUCGGCCCUCGUGCUUUCGAGUGCCCGCCACAAGGACGAACCAUAAACUUUUUGUAAACCCCAGUAUUCUGAGAGUAAAUUUAAUACUUCAAAA